CCUCUGCCAGCUACCUCUCCACAGCACGCGAGAAGGAGAAGCCUCAGGUGGAAGUGAGCUGUGGUAUAAGCUUCCAGCUUUAAUAAGAAGAAAUUACAUGCCUGAAAAAGAAGGUGAGGAGAUGUUAUCAAGUGGAUAACAAGGAAAAAAAGAUGACAGAAGAUACCAGGUGGGCAACAGAAGGAAA
RNAcentral lists this long non-coding RNA (187 nucleotides) under Chinchilla lanigera (long-tailed chinchilla). RNAcentral's name for it is "lncRNA (ENSCLAG00000026171.1)". The record is from RNAcentral. Lineage: Eukaryota; Metazoa; Chordata; Mammalia; Rodentia; Chinchillidae.